This 1399-nucleotide long non-coding RNA is filed under the name Homo sapiens (human). Its description in RNAcentral is "long non-coding RNA NONHSAT212609.1". Lineage: Eukaryota; Metazoa; Chordata; Mammalia; Primates; Hominidae. The record is from RNAcentral.
AUGAAUUGGAGUCAUACGACUGGGUGUUUCCUUCCGAGUGGUUUUCAUCAGCAAUCCAUUAGGAAAUCAUGGAAACUUUUUUUUUCCUGGCUAAAAGGAUGAAAACUGAGUAAGUACAUAGAACUUUGAACUUGAGACGGAAUGAAACAAAUUCAAGCAAAAACCCUGACAGUAACCAUGUCCAUUCAAAUUGCGUAUGCCCUUUUUAUGUUAAAAGCCGUGAAUACUUACAGGACAGUGGGAAUUUAAAACUAAAUGAAGGGAAGCAUACAAAAGGCUGAAAGCAAGACUGCUUUAAAACCGGAGGAAAAUUGAGGAACUGCUAAGGCAACCUGGCCUGAGUUCAGCUGUGCAACAGGCACUUUGGGUUUUAAUCUUUUGCGUUCUUCAAUGCUGUUUUCAGACUCCAGAUAUACUUUGGUAUUGUUUUCUCUCUUCCUGCAAAGCUGAGGCAGAGUCGGACUCCUUUACUGUGAGUUGAAAGAUGUGAGAAUAAGGCAUUGCUGGAAGCAACAGUUUGGCAGCCUGGGGUACACUCAGGUUAUUCGUUACAACUAUUAUUAUUUGAUGUCUUUUUUUAAACUCAGGUCAUCCACUUUUGACUGUCAUCCAUGGAAGAGCUCUUAUUAAAAGCCUCAGACUUUCGGGACCUAUGAUUCUUUGGCACAACCUUUUGGAAAAUUCUUAAGCAGGGAUGAAGCAAACUUGAUUGGAGUUGGGGAAAAAGAAGACAGAUUAGUAUUUUUCAUGCUGACAAAAAAUAGCUGCUAUGACUUUUCCCGCAACGUGGACAGGGGCCAAGUGAAGCUGAACUGGUCAUGGUCUGUCGCCCAGUGUUCCCUUGUCGUCGGCGAUUUUGCCCCCGACCCUUCUUGGUGGGCUUAGUGGUGGCAAUCUGUCUCUUCUACCAGACUCUGACCCUCCGAGGGUCGAGGAAGCUCACAGCCGCUGCCCCUGGGGCUGUCCCACACACAUCCACUGAAACCCAGGCAAGCAGAUGCAAGAAAGGAUUCUCUCAGGACAAACAGUGCUUCCUUCUCUCUGGUAAUGCCCAGGAAACCAGAAAGGUCAAAGAAUCAAUGGAGACACACUUUGGCAGCCAUGGCCGAAGGGCCAUACUCUACAGGCCUCCUUUCUACAGCAAAACAGAGCUUCAGCUACACCAGCACAUUCUGACUCAACAUGGCUAUACGGUUGUCAUCGCUGAAGAAAGGCUCAAUGCUGGCCUAGGGCCGGGGCUACUAGAACAAGAGAGGGGAAUCUCACUAUGUUACCCAGACUGGUGUCGAACUACUGGGCUCAAGCAAUUGUCCCGCCUCAGCAUCUCAAAGUGCUGGGAUUACAGACGUGAACCAUCUCGCCUGGCUCUGUCAUUUCUUAAAGUUCAAAUGAAUGUAUG